RNAcentral lists this long non-coding RNA (219 nucleotides) under Nicotiana benthamiana. Its description in RNAcentral is "long non-coding RNA (NBEN_LNC010395)". Lineage: Eukaryota; Viridiplantae; Streptophyta; Magnoliopsida; Solanales; Solanaceae. The record is from RNAcentral.
AGGUCCUUCUUCUUAUCCCUGAACUGCUCCACCAGCCGCCUGACAAGGUGGAUAGCUUCUGUAGUGGAGCGACCCGUCAUGAAACCGAACUGGUUCCCAGAUAUAGAUGUCAUCUUCCUCACCCUCGCCUCGAUCACCUGCUCCCAGACCUUCAUGGUGUGACUUCUUAAUUUGAUACCCCUAUUGUUGUUGCAGCACUGGAUGUCCCCUUUGUUCUUG